AAAAAAACUGCAAUGGGUAAGGCCUGAAGCUCAAGAAGGGUGUGAUGUGUCAGAUUGGUUCAACAUUAUGGUACUCCAUCAAAAUAGGAUCAAGACAAAUCCUAAAAAUGCGAUAAAUGAACAUUUCCUGCCACGAUUCCUAGACUUCAUAGUGUGGGGGCAUGAACAUGAAUGCCUAGUUAAUCCAUAGGAAGUUCCUAGGAUGGGCUUUCAUAUAACUCAACUAGGGUCGUCUGUUGCAACAUCAUUAAUCGAUGGGGAAGCAAAGCUUAAGCAUGUCCUUCUUUUAGAAAUUAAGGGGAAUCGAUAUCGUCCAACUAAAAUACCUUUGAAGUCAGUGAGGCCUUUUGAAUAUGCUGAGGUCAUUUUAAAGGACGAGGCGAACAUUGACCCCAAUGAUCAAUCAUCUGUUCUUAAGCAUUUGGACAAAGUUGUCAGAAAUCUGAUUGAGAAAGGUAACAGAAAGGCUGUUAGUAGGU
This is a long non-coding RNA of Magnolia sinica, 479 nucleotides long. RefSeq lists it as uncharacterized. NCBI's taxonomy places the organism in Eukaryota, Viridiplantae, Streptophyta, Magnoliopsida, Magnoliales, Magnoliaceae. The transcript has 6 exons. The record is from RefSeq and is a predicted model, not a curated record.